AAGUCGAGCGGAUCAUUCCUUCGGGAAUGGUUAGCGGCGGACGGGUGAGUAACACGUAGGCAACCUGCCCAUAAGACCGGGAUAACAUUCGGAAACGAAUGCUAAGACCGGAUACGCGAUCUUGCCGCAUGGCGGGAUCGGGAAACACGGCGCAAGCUGUGGCUUAUGGAUGGGCCUGCGGCGCAUUAGCUAGUUGGUGAGGUAACGGCUCACCAAGGCGACGAUGCGUAGCCGACCUGAGAGGGUGAACGGCCACACUGGGACUGAGACACGGCCCAGACUCCUACGGGAGGCAGCAGUAGGGAAUCUUCCACAAUGGACGCAAGUCUGAUGGAGCAACGCCGCGUGAGUGAGGAAGGCCUUCGGGUCGUAAAGCUCUGUUGCCAGGCAAGAAUAAGGGCAUGUUAACUGCAUGUCCGAUGACGGUACCUGAGAAGAAAGCCCCGGCUAACUACGUGCCAGCAGCCGCGGUAAUACGUAGGGGGCAAGCGUUGUCCGGAUUUAUUGGGCGUAAAGCGCGCGCAGGCGGCUUCUUAAGUCUGGUGUUUACGUGCGGGGCUCAACCCCGUGACGCACUGGACACUGGGAGGCUUGAGUGCAGAAGAGGACAGCGGAAUUCCUGGUGUAGCGGUGAAAUGCGUAGAUAUCAGGAGGAAGGCCUGUGGCGAAGGCGGCCCUCUGGUACUGGACUGACGCUGAGGCGCGAAAGCGUGGGGAGCAAA
This 722-nucleotide ribosomal RNA is filed under the name uncultured Bacillota bacterium. Its description in RNAcentral is "bacterial SSU rRNA". It matches the Rfam family "Bacterial small subunit ribosomal RNA", at positions 59 to 772 of the family's 1533-position model. Lineage: Bacteria; Bacillati; Bacillota. The record is from RNAcentral.